UUUGUCUUUACUAUAAGAUGGCUGUCACCCC
This 31-nucleotide non-coding RNA is filed under the name Mus musculus (house mouse). Lineage: Eukaryota; Metazoa; Chordata; Mammalia; Rodentia; Muridae. The record is from RNAcentral.